AUUAUUAUUAUUAGGAUAUAUAUUUUGGUGAAUAGUAUAUGUAUUUUUUGUUAUAUGAUAUAUCAUUUUUCUAAAAUGAUACAUUUAAGUUAUGUUUUCUAUUGUACUUUUAUUAACGUGACAUAUAAUUUUAUUAGCAUGUUAUAUGUAUAUAUUUAUUUUUAUUUAUUGUUAUUAUAUAUAUAUUUCUAUUGUAAUUUUGUAAGGUAUAUAUUUUUUUUAUAUGGCAUAUAAGUUUUAUUGUGUAGUAUAUCAUUUUAUUUUAGAUCAUGUUUAGUUUUUAUUUUAUUAUAUAUAAAGAUUGUAUAUAAUUUUGUAAGUAUGGUAUAAUUAUUUUAUGGCUAUAUAUAAUUUUGUUAAUUAGUUUGUGCAAUUUUUUUUUAUAUUAUUAUAUUAUUUUAUUUUAUUUUAUUUUUUAUUGUAGGUAUACAUAUUUUGUUGUGUGAUAUAUGUUUGUUUUUGUGUAUAGUAUAUCAUUUAUUUAAAUGAUGUUAGUUUUUAUUUUAUUAUAUAUAAUGAUUAUUUAUAAAUUUUUUCGUAUACUUUUAAUAGUUGUAUAUAUAAUUUUGUUAGCAUAAUUUAUAUAUUCUUUGAGUAUUAAUAUAUUAAGUUUAUCAUUAUUAUAAUUUUUUUUGUGGUAUAUAAUUUAUUACUACAUUAUAUUAAUUUAUAUUGUUAUAUAUAUUUAUGAUCUAAUAUAUUUAUUUAUUUUUGUUACAAUAUAAAACUAAAAAAUUUAUAUCUUAAUUUAUGUAAUAUAUAAUUUUUUUAAAAAAAUAAAAGUUAAUAUGUAGUAAAUAUAUUUUUAUAAUUUUAUUAACUAAUUCAGUAUAUUUAACGAUUUAACUAAUUAAAAAUUUAAAUAUUUCCGUUACUAAAUUUAGAAUCAUUUUACAAUUUAGCUUUAUCUAUAAACCUUUAUAAAAAGGAGAAUAGUUCAAUUUGGGCUUUUCAUAGUCUAUUUACAAAAAUAACCCUUCUUAAUUAUUUAUUUACCUAUAACUUAAACAACACCUGUUAAUUAUUCAAUGACAAGUGUGGUAAGGUGUUGCAUGCGUGGGCUUUUCAUAACUCAUAUUAAUUAUUUAUUUACUUAUAAUUUUUAAUGAGAUAACACCUGUCAACUAUUCAAUGACAAGUGUGGUAAGUUGUGUUGCAUGUGUGUUUUUUUUUUUUUUUUUUUUUUUUGAAUUGAAAGAACUCAGUUAAAGAUCCUUUUGAUAUCAGGUUUGUUAAGCUCUCUCUCUCUCUUCCUUAUCUUUGCAUCCCCUUUGUGAGCUUCUGCUUUCUGGUUCUGUGAAGUUGGUUGAUUUGGUCUUCAAGGAGGUCGGUAAUGGACUAUGGGAAAUGAUGAAGAGGGAAAGUCUGCUAAAUCCGAGAAAAAUUCUCCGCCUGAAACCCCGUUGCUAGAUGAAUGCUCAAGUGAUGGAGACUGUGCUCUUGGAUUGUAUUGUUUUUCAUGCAUGGAAGGAUUUUCAGGAUCCAAAUGUGUGAGAUUAAAAAUUACAGACAAAUUGAAGCUCCUGAUGCAGCAUAGAUGUUGAAUUUACUGAUUCAUUAGCCUGGCCAACAACAACUGUAUUUGGGGAAAUUGUAGAAACAUUAUUCUCAUGUAAUGUAACAAUACUGAUUGAUACCAAAAUUAAGUGACAGCAUUCCUAAAGAACUUCUUGAACUCCAUGACAACAAAGAGAUAACAGCUUACAUCAAGGCAAUAAAACAAGAUUCAAGUGAAGGAUGGAAAUUCAACAUCACUUCAUUCCUUAAUACAACUCCAGUCUCAAUUGAAGAAUUAAUCUCUAAUGCUUCAACUUCCCAUCCUAAUCCAACUCCACUUUUGACUCUUCUUAAAAAAACUUAAAAUUACAGCUGACAAUGAAAAGAAGAAAUAUGAAGCUACUGAUGAAGAUGAAAAGAACCACAAGGCUUCUAAUGAAAGAUUAGAUGCAGUAGAAAGCUUGGUUGUGCUUCUCUUCUAAAUUGGCUUGCUCUUUUAUUGCUCGUUAUUUUCAAAGUUCUAUGAUGGAAUAUAUAUAUAAAUAGGCCACUUGUUGGAAUACUAUACCAUAGGCUUCCACUUUUGGAAGCUCCAUAGAUGCAAUGAAUACAUAAAUAAAUAGGCCAUAACUUGGGAACACUUUUUAAGUUCCAUUACAACUUAAAAUGGAUAUGUUAGUCGUAACUUUAAAAGCUA
Cannabis sativa is the source of this 2194-nucleotide long non-coding RNA. RefSeq lists it as uncharacterized. The transcript has 5 exons. The record is from RefSeq and is a predicted model, not a curated record. Lineage: Eukaryota; Viridiplantae; Streptophyta; Magnoliopsida; Rosales; Cannabaceae.